This 578-nucleotide ribosomal RNA is filed under the name Hanseniaspora occidentalis. RNAcentral's name for it is "partial large subunit ribosomal RNA". It matches the Rfam family "Eukaryotic large subunit ribosomal RNA", at positions 22 to 606 of the family's 3401-position model. Lineage: Eukaryota; Fungi; Ascomycota; Saccharomycetes; Saccharomycodales; Saccharomycodaceae. The record is from RNAcentral.
UACCCGCUGAACUUAAGCAUAUCAAUAAGCGGAGGAAAAGAAACCACCGGGAUUGCCUCAGUAACGGCGAGUGAAGCGGCAAAAGCUCAAAUUUGAAAUCUGGCACUUUCAGUGUCCGAGUUGUAAUUUGUAGAAGUAGUUUUGGGACUGGUCCUUAUCUAUGUUUCUUGGAACAGGACGUCAUAGAGGGUGAGAACCCCGUAUGAUGAGGCCCCCAGUCCUUUGUAAAACGCUUUCGAAGAGUCGAGUUGUUUGGGAAUGCAGCUCUAAGUGGGUGGUAAAUUCCAUCUAAAGCUAAAUAUUGGCGAGAGACCGAUAGCGAACAAGUACAGUGAUGGAAAGAUGAAAAGAACUUUGAAAAGAGAGUGAAAAAGUACGUGAAAUUGUUGAAAGGGAAGGGCAUUUGAUCAGACAUGGUGUUUUGCGCCCUUUGCUCCUUGUGGGCGGAGGAUACGCAGCUCACUGGGCCAACAUCAGUUUUGGGAGCAGGAUAAAUCUGUAGGAACGUAGCUUUCUUCGGGAAGUGUUAUAGCCUAUGGGAAUACUGCUACCUGGGACUGAGGACUGCGUCUUUUGAC